This 574-nucleotide ribosomal RNA is filed under the name uncultured bacterium. Its description in RNAcentral is "partial 16S ribosomal RNA". It matches the Rfam family "Bacterial small subunit ribosomal RNA", at positions 355 to 923 of the family's 1533-position model. The record is from RNAcentral.
UGGGGAAUUUUGGACAAUGGGCGAAAGCCUGAUCCAGCAAUGCCGCGUGUGUGAAGAAGGCCUUCGGGUUGUAAAGCACUUUUGUCCGGAAAGAAAUCCUUGGCUCUAAUACAGUCGGGGGAUGACGGUACCGGAAGAAUAAGCACCGGCUAACUACGUGCCAGCAGCCGCGGUAAUACGUAGGGUGCAAGCGUUAAUCGGAAUUACUGGGCGUAAAGCGUGCGCAGGCGGUUUGCUAAGACCGAUGUGAAAUCCCCGGGCUCAACCUGGGAACUGCAUUGGUGACUGGCAGGCUAGAGUAUGGCAGAGGGGGGUAGAAUUCCACGUGUAGCAGUGAAAUGCGUAGAGAUGUGGAGGAAUACCGAUGGCGAAGGCAGCCCCCUGGGCCAAUACUGACGCUCAUGCACGAAAGCGUGGGGAGCAAACAGGAUUAGAUACCCUGGUAGUCCACGCCCUAAACGAUGUCACUAGUUGUUGGGGAUUCAUUUCCUUAGUAACGUAGCUAACGCGUGAAGUUGACCGCCUGGGGAGUACGGUCGCAAGAUUAAAACUCAAAGGAAUUGACGGGGUCAUA